AGCAGUACGCCGGCUGGGCAUGUGGACUGGAUAAACAUUAUGAGACGAAGGGACUAACAUGAAUAGAUGCAUAUCAGUGACAAUGUAGCACAACUAGUUUAACAAGGGAAUGCAAAAAGAUCUUCAACAACUUGGCAAGUUGGCAUUAGUAGGUAAGUAAUGCUCAAAAUGCAAUAUAAACUUCUUUCCUCUUCUCAAGCUUAAUGAAGGGCAAUUCCAUAAAGAGAUGCUCAAAAUGGC
RNAcentral lists this long non-coding RNA (240 nucleotides) under Setaria italica (foxtail millet). Its description in RNAcentral is "long non-coding RNA (SITA_LNC007433)". Lineage: Eukaryota; Viridiplantae; Streptophyta; Magnoliopsida; Poales; Poaceae. The record is from RNAcentral.